AUGUUCUAUAAGUACUGCAACCUCUCAACAUUGUUAUCCGUGGGCCGGACUGCUUCUGAGGGCCAAGGUUCCAAGGAUUCAUCCAAGCUCUGCUGUCCCACACAGAUUGAAAUGGCAACAGUCUCAAUGGACGUUGAAGUGGGAAGAGAUGACAAGAAGAAGGGGUUCUACCAAGAUCUGGUCCUAGCUUACAAGACUCUGGGUGUUGUCUUCGGUGGCCUCGUCACUUCACCUCUCUAUGUUUAUCCGUCGAUGAAUCUGACCAAUCCCACUGAGGAAGACUACCUCGGGAUAUACAGCAUCAUGUUCUGGACCCUGACCCUGAUCGGUGUCAUCAAGUACAUAUGCAUAGCUCUGAAUGCUGAUGAUCAUGGUGAAGGUGGCACAUUUGCCAUGUAUUCUCUGCUGUGCCAGCAUGCCAACAUUGGCAUCCUCCCGUCCAAAAAGAUUUACAUUGAAGAAGAGGAUCUGGUCUCGACUCACCCUGCUGUGACCAGAAGGCCAAGCAGGCUGAGGAGAUUCAUCGAGCGCAGCAUUGUCGCUAGGAGGCUGCUGCUCCUCACUGCUAUAUUGGGCAUGUGUAUGCUAAUUGGAGAUGGCAUUCUCACACCUGCUAUUUCAGUCUUGUCUGCAAUAGAUGGACUGAGAGGCCCUUUCCCAUCCGUCAGUAAACCUGUGGUGGAGGCACUGUCUGCGGCGAUCCUCAUUGGGCUUUUCCUGCUACAGAAGUACGGCACGUCCAAAGUGAGUUUCAUAUUCUCACCGAUCAUGGCAGUGUGGACGUUCACCACACCGAUCAUCGGCAUCUACAGCAUCUGGCGCUAUUACCCUGGCAUCUUCAAGGCCUUGUCGCCACACUACAUCGUUAUGUUCUUCAUCACCAACCAGAAAAGGGGCUGGCAGCUGCUCGGUGGGACCGUUCUCUGCAUCACGGGUGCCGAGGCCAUGUUUGCGGAUCUUGGACACUUUAGCAAGAGGUCUAUCCAGAUCGCGUUCCUCACCAGCAUAUACCCCUCCCUCGUGCUCACUUACGCUGGGCAGACGGCGUACCUGAUCAACAACGUCAAUGACUUCAGCGACGGGUUCUACAAGUUUGUGCCGCGUCCCGUGUACUGGCCCAUGUUUGUCAUUGCGACGCUGGCAGCGAUCGUGGCAAGUCAAUCGCUGAUCUCAGCCACCUUCUCUGUCAUCAAGCAGUCGGUAGCCCUCGACUACUUCCCCCGUGUCAAGGUGGUGCACACCUCCAGGAACAAGGAAGGGGAGGUAUACUCGCCGGAAACCAACUAUAUACUCAUGCUGUUCUGUGUUGGUGCCAUCCUCGGCUUCGGCGAUGGCAAGAACAUUGGAAACGCGUUCGGGGUGGUAGUCAUCAUGGUCAUGCUGAUCACCACCAUCCUGCUCUCCCUGGUGAUGCUCAUCAUCUGGGACACACAUGUGGUGCUUGUGGCUCUCUACUUCGUGCCGUUCCUGAUCCUCGAGGGCACCUACGUGAGCGCAGUGUGCACCAAGAUCCUCAAAGGUGGGUGGAUGCCGUUUGCAGUGUCAUUGUUGUUGGCACUGAUCAUGUUCGGCUGGUACUACGGUAGACAGAGGAAAGCCGAGUACGAGAUGGCGAACAAGGUGACACUCGAGCGGCUUGGUGAGCUCCUCGCUGGUCCUGACGUGCACCGCAUCCCCGGGCUCUGCUUCUUCUAUAGCAACAUGCAGGACUGGCUCACGCCGGUGCUCGCGCACUACAUCAGGAACUUGCGGUCGUUGCACAAGGUGACCAUCUUCCUCACACUCCGGUACCUCCUGGUGGCCAAGGUCGAUGCCAAGGACCGUGUGGCCAUCCGGCGGCUUGGACCCAAUGGAGUUUAUGGGUGCACGAUACAGUAUGGCUACGCUGACCCGCUCGACUCUGAGGAGGAUGAACUCACCGGCCUGGUGGUGGGCGCCCUGCGGGACUACAUCACCGAGGAGGAGGAGGAGGUGGCUCUGCUUGAGGAGGCGAGGGAGGCUGGGGUGGUGCACGUCAGGGGCAAGAUGAGGUUCCACAUCGGCAAAGACACGGGCUUCUUCGACCGUAUUCUGCUUGGCUUCUACGAGUUCCUGCACAGCACGUGCCGGUCCGCGCUGCCAGCUCUCGGGAUCCCCCUGCAGCAGCGCGUCGAGAUCGGCAUGCUCUACAAGGCCUGA
RNAcentral lists this ribosomal RNA (2178 nucleotides) under Triticum aestivum (bread wheat). Its description in RNAcentral is "partial small subunit ribosomal RNA". The record is from RNAcentral. Lineage: Eukaryota; Viridiplantae; Streptophyta; Magnoliopsida; Poales; Poaceae.